GUGUCUGUGGGUGGCUCAACAGAGAGGUGCAGCCCUGGUGAGGUGGAGGAAGGCAUGGCGGUUCAUUUUCAGCUUUCUUGAAUUGGAGCACUGAGUAUCCUGUAUGUACCGGGUGCUGGUGUGAGCAUGGCCACUGUGGCAGCAUUUUCAAGACAUUUUCAAGGUGUGGCCUGCUGUGACUCGGUGAGCCUUGUGUAUCGCUUGCAAAGGCUCAAGUGAGCCGAGUGUCUUGGUGGCGUCAGAUUUCGCAGCGCAGUGAUGUAAGUUUAACUGUUAGUAAUUAGAAGACUCUGUGCGCCUUCGUCUUAAAGUCCACGUUUCCAUUAUUUAGCAGCUCAGCUGCCCCAGAAGGAAUAGCUGCUGUAAAUUAGGCUAAAGCACGAGAGAAAUUAAAUCUAGUUAAAGUCCAUCACAGUAACAAAAAUAACUCCAUAAACUAAAAAUAUUAGAAACUUGACUAGGCAUCUUGACUUGGUAAUUUUGUUUGCUUGCUUGUUUGUUUUGUUGAAACAGGGUCUCUCUGUGUUAGCCCAGGCUGGCCUGGACUCCUGAUCCUUCUGCCUCAGCCUCAGUUGCUGGAAUUGUGGAUGUAUGGCAUCAUGUCAAGUCACGCACUUAUUAAAGCACUGAUGUUAAAACUCCAAUCAGGCGGACAGUGUUCACUUCUGAAAACCAAACGAAAGUCUGGCCAGGUGGGGAGGUCUGCUGCAGAUGGCUAGGACGCCCACUCUGUCACAGCCGUGCUGUGGCUGCUUCUCCUGCACUGUGUCCUCAUCUACAGUGGAAUAAUUUGUAUUUUCAGUGUUAAUUUCAUGAAUGGAUAGACUUGCUUGCUUAAUGUUUAAAAUAAAUGUACAGAUUUUAAUGAGUGGAACAGAUCUAUAAACAGGCUGUUGAUGCACCCUUUUUCCCUUGGUUUAAGAGUAGUGUUUAUGGGGCUGAGGAUUUAGCUCAGUGGUAGAGCGCUUACCUAGGAAGCACAAGGCCCUGGGUUCGGUCCCCAGCUCCGAAAAAAAAGAACCAAAAAAAAAAAAAAAAAAAAAAAAAGAGUAGUGUUUAUUUAUUUGAAAGGAGCUGUAAUAGGAUGUUACAGCAGGCUCUGCACUUACAUACCCUAACAGUCAGGCCCUCCCCACUCAAUGUCCUCCCCACUUCAGGCUUGGCUGAGAGGAAGGCUCUGCAGCCAGUGUGUGUCCCAGAAUCCUCUGGUAAGCCGUCUCAUUUGUAUUCUGGAAAAGGUGAUUUUCAAAUUUUUGUUUCUGGCAGCCAGAACACCAAGGUUAGUUUGGAAGGAGAGGGGGAAUCGUUACUUCAUCCGCAGCCUGAUUUAGAGUUAUGAUUAUAGUUUCCGCGAUUUCAUUUCCAUUUUAGGUUGCUGUGGCCCUUCCCCCUUUCUCUCUUUGAACUAUUAACAAACAAGGAAUACCUUUUUACUUUUAGAGCUGUGAAUUAAGGAAUGGGCAGAGUUUACAUUUACACACACCUGUGUCUGCCCAGUUUCUUCCCCUUCCCCCUCUUCCCUUUUGAGAUAGAGUCCAAUAUAGUUCAGGCUGGCCACAAACCCUCUGUGUAGCCCAGGUUAGCCUUUAAACUCCUAAUCCUCCUACCUCCACCUGACGAACCACUAUGCCCAGCUUCUCCUCCACCCCUUAACAUAUAUAAUUUUUUCUCUCUUCCUUUUCCUUAAAAUACUAGAACCCAUAGUUCUUCCUAGUGCCUUUGAGCUGCCCCUGCAGUCUGACUAAUUAGAAUCAGUGAAACCCUGAGUAGCGUUACUGUAGUGCUGUUACCGACCAGGAUACAAACUGUACAGAAAGUUUGCUGUGUUAAUACAAAAUCCACAUUUGAGUUGUGUUUUAUGUAUAAAUAUGUACUUGUCCAAGCUGUAUAUAUCAGUGUGUGUGUACAUGCAGCACGGUAAGAUGAGAAAUAAAUGCCUUCCCAACACC
This 1949-nucleotide long non-coding RNA is filed under the name Rattus norvegicus (Norway rat). Its description in RNAcentral is "long non-coding RNA NONRATT004264". The record is from RNAcentral. Lineage: Eukaryota; Metazoa; Chordata; Mammalia; Rodentia; Muridae.